GGACAGGUUAAGAGGCACGCAUCCAUCUCGCCUCCGCUCCCUCCCCGUGCCCCCAGUCAAUAUGUCUCUCUCCGAUGGGAAAGUUAAUAAAUUUAGCUCUAGAUUAAAAGUAUCGAUCAUUUCAUUUGUAAGCGAUAAAUAACCGGGGGCAACGCUGGGCGGCCCGCGGGGUAGCGGCUGCGGGCUCCGGCUGCAGCAGCCCUGCAGCCCGCUGGGGCCGGGGGCCCUCAUAUGCAUUCUGCCCGGAUGCCGGCAUUGAUUUGCUAUUAGUCUCCCCGCACCACCCAGUAGCACAUCAUUCCCGGAGCCGCUAUUAAUGGCCUUUUGAUAAAUAAUCACUUGUAAGUCAAUAAAUUUUUAUUAAACAGUGUGGCGCUUUGAUUUAUGAAAAUCCGACGGGGUUUGUCUGGGAGAAAAGCGAUGCGGAAUUGAAGCGGAGCCACUAUCCAUCUGCCUGCCAGGCUGCCCUGCCUGCGCUCGCCGCUCUCCAACCCGCGCAGCGGCCGCGAGGAGGCGGCCGGAGAGCCGGGACCGGGAAGCGCCGGCUCCACGGGGCGCGCGGCCGUCGCCGGGCGCUGGGCUCUGCCCAGCUCUGCCCAGCUCUGCCCCACACAUUGCCGGUGCUCUGCCCUACACACCGCCGGUGCUCUGCUCUACACAUUGCUCGUGCUCUGCCCCACACAUUGCUGGAGCUCUGCCCUGCACACUGCUGGUACUCUGCCCCACACAUUGCUGGUGCUCUGCCCUGCACACUGCUGGUGCUCUGCCCCACACAUUGCUCGUGCUCUGCCCCACACAUUGCUGGUGCUCUGCCCUGCACACUGCUGGUGCUCUGCACCACACAUUGUUCGUGCUCUGCCCCGCACAUUGCUGGUGCUCUGCCCUGCACACUGCUGGUGCUCUGCCCUGUGUACUCUGCAAGUUCCUGGCCCCAGGCCACCCACCCUGCCCCAUGUGCUGCCAGUGUUCUGCCCUGCAGGCUCCCCAAGCUUUGCUCCAUGUGCUCUACAAGGUCUGCCCCACAUGCUGCUGGUGCUCUGCCCCAUUCAUUCCACGAGCUCUGCCCCACACAGUCCAUGAGCUCCUGGCCCCAGGACCACCCAGGCACUCUGCAAGCUCUGCCCCAUGCACUUCAGUCUCCUCCCUCCAUGCACGCACUGCCCUGUGUGCUCCACGAGCUCCUGCCCCACAUGCUACGCAAGCUCCUGGCCCCAGGGCCACCUGCCCUGCCUCAUGUGCUGCCAGCACUCUGCCCCACACGCUCUGUGAGCUCCUGCCCCAUGUGCUCCCUGAGCUCCUGCUCUCUGAGCUCUGCCCUGCGCACUCCAUGAGCUCUGCCCUGAAUGCUGCCAGAGCUCUGCCUGACGUGCUGCUGGUGCUCUG
Molecule: long non-coding RNA, 1383 nt
Filed under: Apteryx rowi (Okarito brown kiwi)
Lineage: Eukaryota; Metazoa; Chordata; Aves; Apterygiformes; Apterygidae
Description: lncRNA (ENSARWG00000016983.1)
Source: RNAcentral